RNAcentral lists this ribosomal RNA (372 nucleotides) under uncultured organism. RNAcentral's name for it is "partial 16S ribosomal RNA". It matches the Rfam family "Bacterial small subunit ribosomal RNA", at positions 527 to 896 of the family's 1533-position model. The record is from RNAcentral.
GUAGGUGGCAAGCGUUGUCCGGAAUUAUUGGGCGUAAAGCGCGCGCAGGCGGUUCUUUAAGUCUGAUGUGAAAGCCCACGGCUCAACCGUGGAGGGUCAUUGGAAACUGGAGAACUUGAGUACAGAAGAGGAAAGCGGAAUUCCACGUGUAGCGGUGAAAUGCGUAGAGGUGUGGAGGAACACCAGUGGCGAAGGCGGCUUUCUGGUCUGUAACUGACGCUGAGGCGCGAAAGCGUGGGGAGCAAACAGGGAUUAGAUACCCUGGUAGUCCACGCCGUAAACGAUGAGUGCUAAGUGUUAGGGGGUUUCCGCCCCCUUAGUGCUGCAGCUAACGCAUUAAGCACUCCGCCUGGGGAUACGGCCGCAAGGCUG